CCUUUCUUAUUUGUUAAAAUGUGAAUGAGCACAGCCCAAGUGCCAUGGUACUGGUGACACAAGAAGCCAAGACAGCCUCUGGGUGGAUGGUGGUGCCCUGAUGAGCAUAAGACUGGAGGAGGAAGAGGCUGGGAGGAAUCACCAAGAAGUCUGUUUUGGCCAGGGCUGAGGUUGGGCGAGUUUGAGAUGCCUGUUGGAUGUUUGGGAAGGAUGCCAAGGAUACGAAGUGGAAGUCUGGAGCCUGGGAGAGAGGGUCAAGCCUGAGAAUUCAGUUUUGGGAGCCACAGAGAUAAACUUUGGCACCAAGUUCUUGGCGGACACAACAUCUUUGUUUGUAUGUGGU
This is a non-coding RNA of Marmota flaviventris (yellow-bellied marmot), 343 nucleotides long. The record is from RefSeq and is a predicted model, not a curated record. Lineage: Eukaryota; Metazoa; Chordata; Mammalia; Rodentia; Sciuridae.